AACUCUCAGCACACUUGUUCAUCUAUAUUACUUAUUUACUUCUGUGUGUUGAGCCCAAAUCUGCCAACAUGUGACUUCCAUCCUUUGAUCUCAUUUUCUGGGAGCAACACAAAAAAAAUGUGGCUUCCUUGAAAGUUCUUCAUGUAUUUAAAGAUCACUCUCAAGCCUGCAGUCAACCUGGAGUAGGCAGAUGAAGCAGCUGGGGAAAAGACCUCUUGACCUACCAACAAACAGUCACUGACACUGUCAAGUUCAGAGGUGGUGAGAGACACAGAUUGCAGGUAUCUUUGUAAGUUCCAAUUCGUCCCCCACACCAGGUUCAGCUUGUCUUUACUCUCCCCUGAGUCACUUCGAGUUUGGUUCUACUGAUCUACAGGAAGCUUCUUCCCACCACUGAAUUCAAGGGACAGUCUUCCCAUAUGUCUUUACCAGCUCUCGCAAAUGAAGACAGAGCCUGUCUAUGUCAUUCAGACUGGCCUCAAACUCCAGGGCUCAACAAAGCCUCCUGCCUCAACUUCCCCAGUAGCUGGGACUACAGGUUUUAUCAUCUGAAAGAUUCCAGAGAAGCCCAGUGAUCCUGAAGGGUACUGGCAGCCACAGUAUCUGAAAUGCUGUGUCUGAGGACCAUCUUCCCCUGACAUUGCAGAAUACCUAGGACAGAGCAACUGUUUCCAGGCCUACUCUUAUCACAGUCUCCUUGGGGACUUUUAAAAAUCCAGGCCUUUGGACUUAAUGAUUCAGAGUUUCUGGGGCUGGACACCUGCUAGCUCCGUGCUUCAGUCACUCCCCAGCAAAUAUCUUCCACUGAGAUCGUGUGGUUUUAAUCAUACAAGGAGAGUGGCAGAAGAACAGAAAGAUUGAAACCAAGGACAGAGAACACCUGAAAUUGGAAUGGCUUCAAAUGUUCAGUGGAAGUGAACAAGUUCUUGUAUUGUUUUCUCCUAUUCUCCUUCCAGCUUCAGGGUCAUAUGUCACAGCGCUGGGCAUUUCAUUUGGGUAUCUAUCAUCAUUCCCAUUCUGCAAUGAGGAAAUGCUGUCAGAGUGAUUAAGUAAUUUGCCCAUGGUCUCACAUAGAAGCCUGUCUUCUCCAGGGAACACAGCACUCAGAAUCGUCUCGGCCCCUGCAUAAGCCUGCAUGAGCCUGGGCUCUGGGGACCCAUCCUGGUGCAUCAUUCGUUGGCUCUGUGACAAUGGGCACAUCGUUUAACCUCUCUUGGCUUCAUUCUCCUUACUGGAAUGAUGGAGAGAGUUUUGCCUAUUUCAGAGGCUUGCUCUUCUAUACGUGAGCCUAUAAGUAACUUGUCUUAAGAAUUUCCACUCCUUCUGUACUCUGAUUUAAAUUUGAAGGCAUCAAAACAAAAACAAUCAAGAUUUCAGAUUCCAAAUACUUUCAUUUUCAUUUUUUAUUUUGAUUAGAAUUUCUUCUGAAUGAAUUUCUGUUUUGUAAUUUUAGCAUUGCCCUGAGGGGGGGAAAAGGCAGUUUAUCACCAUGCAGUAUAUUUUUCAGACAGCCUCUCUUUGACAAACUGAUUUUUGUCAGUCUCAACUGACUCACCAAUUCCAAAUCCCAGGGCUUCCCUGGGAAACUUCCUUGGAUCAUGGCUCUGCCACACAGGACCGACAUCCCAGAGGCCAAAGCAACCUGCUAUAAACUGAGAUCAUUGCUCAGCAAGCUGGUACCACAUGCAAGGAGUCUCAAGAGCUAACAGGAAAUGAUUCAAGACCAGAAUUACCCAGAACAAGUGUGUUAGCUUCCUCUGCGCAUGGGAUAAUAAGGAGCUUGCAUCACCAACCUUCCGUGAAUAGCCUACUCAGUGAUUCAACAGGUUUCAAAAUUGUGAAA
Molecule: long non-coding RNA, 1843 nt
Filed under: Homo sapiens (human)
Lineage: Eukaryota; Metazoa; Chordata; Mammalia; Primates; Hominidae
Description: long independently transcribed non-coding RNA 2866, transcript variant 2 (LINC02866)
Source: RNAcentral